AAGAUGAAAGUGAGAUAUCUUAUGUGGGAAACUUUAUCAAGAAAAAAUAUUGGUUCUGGUCAAAAGGGAUAACAAGGACUUACCUAAUCCUAUGGGUUCAGAUUCAAUCCAAAAAAAAAAAUCAAAAUCAAAAUCAAAAAAAGAAGAAAAAGAAAAAUCAAAGUCAAAAUGAAAAUGAAAAAGAGAGAAGGAAAAAAGGAAAAAAGGAAAAAUAAAAGGAGAG
Molecule: long non-coding RNA, 223 nt
Filed under: Gossypium raimondii (Peruvian cotton)
Lineage: Eukaryota; Viridiplantae; Streptophyta; Magnoliopsida; Malvales; Malvaceae
Description: long non-coding RNA (GRAI_LNC003972)
Source: RNAcentral